This 463-nucleotide ribosomal RNA is filed under the name uncultured bacterium. RNAcentral describes it as "partial 16S ribosomal RNA". It matches the Rfam family "Bacterial small subunit ribosomal RNA", at positions 28 to 506 of the family's 1533-position model. The record is from RNAcentral.
GACGAACGCUGGCGGCGUGCCUAACACAUGCAAGUCGAGCGAAUGAAGUUCCUUCGGGAAUGGAUUUAGCGGCGGACGGGUGAGUAACACGUGGGCAACCUGCCUCAUAGAGGGGAAUAGCCUCCCGAAAGGGAGAUUAAUACCGCAUAAGAUUGUAGUACCGCAUGAUACAGCAAUUAAAGGAGCAAUCCGCUAUGAGAUGGGCCCGCGGCGCAUUAGCUAGUUGGUGAGGUAAUGGCUCACCAAGGCGACGAUGCGUAGCCGACCUGAGAGGGUGAUCGGCCACAUUGGGACUGAGACACGGCCCAGACUCCUACGGGAGGCAGCAGUGGGGAAUAUUGCACAAUGGGGGAAACCCUGAUGCAGCAACGCCGCGUGAGUGAUGACGGCCUUCGGGUGGUAAAGCUCUGUCUUCAGGGACGAUAAUGACGGUACCGGAGGAGGAAGCCACGGCUAACUACGU